This 1461-nucleotide ribosomal RNA is filed under the name Escherichia coli. Its description in RNAcentral is "bacterial SSU rRNA". It matches the Rfam family "Bacterial small subunit ribosomal RNA". The record is from RNAcentral. Lineage: Bacteria; Pseudomonadati; Pseudomonadota; Gammaproteobacteria; Enterobacterales; Enterobacteriaceae.
AGCUUGCUGCUUCGCUGACGAGUGGCGGACGGGUGAGUAAUGUCUGGGAAACUGCCUGAUGGAGGGGGAUAACUACUGGAAACGGUAGCUAAUACCGCAUAACGUCGCAAGACCAAAGAGGGGGACCUUCGGGCCUCUUGCCAUCGGAUGUGCCCAGAUGGGAUUAGCUUGUUGGUGGGGUAACGGCUCACCAAGGCGACGAUCCCUAGCUGGUCUGAGAGGAUGACCAGCCACACUGGAACUGAGACACGGUCCAGACUCCUACGGGAGGCAGCAGUGGGGAAUAUUGCACAAUGGGCGCAAGCCUGAUGCAGCCAUGCCGCGUGUAUGAAGAAGGCCUUCGGGUUGUAAAGUACUUUCAGCGGGGAGGAAGGGAGUAAAGUUAAUACCUUUGCUCAUUGACGUUACCCGCAGAAGAAGCACCGGCUAACUCCGUGCCAGCAGCCGCGGUAAUACGGAGGGUGCAAGCGUUAAUCGGAAUUACUGGGCGUAAAGCGCACGCAGGCGGUUUGUUAAGUCAGAUGUGAAAUCCCCGGGCUCAACCUGGGAACUGCAUCUGAUACUGGCAAGCUUGAGUCUCGUAGAGGGGGGUAGAAUUCCAGGUGUAGCGGUGAAAUGCGUAGAGAUCUGGAGGAAUACCGGUGGCGAAGGCGGCCCCCUGGACGAAGACUGACGCUCAGGUGCGAAAGCGUGGGGAGCAAACAGGAUUAGAUACCCUGGUAGUCCACGCCGUAAACGAUGUCGACUUGGAGGUUGUGCCCUUGAGGCGUGGCUUCCGGAGCUAACGCGUUAAGUCGACCGCCUGGGGAGUACGGCCGCAAGGUUAAAACUCAAAUGAAUUGACGGGGGCCCGCACAAGCGGUGGAGCAUGUGGUUUAAUUCGAUGCAACGCGAAGAACCUUACCUGGUCUUGACAUCCACGGAAGUUUUCAGAGAUGAGAAUGUGCCUUCGGGAACCGUGAGACAGGUGCUGCAUGGCUGUCGUCAGCUCGUGUUGUGAAAUGUUGGGUUAAGUCCCGCAACGAGCGCAACCCUUAUCCUUUGUUGCCAGCGGUCCGGCCGGGAACUCAAAGGAGACUGCCAGUGAUAAACUGGAGGAAGGUGGGGAUGACGUCAAGUCAUCAUGGCCCUUACGACCAGGGCUACACACGUGCUACAAUGGCGCAUACAAAGAGAAGCGACCUCGCGAGAGCAAGCGGACCUCAUAAAGUGCGUCGUAGUCCGGAUUGGAGUCUGCAACUCGACUCCAUGAAGUCGGAAUCGCUAGUAAUCGUGGAUCAGAAUGCCACGGUGAAUACGUUCCCGGGCCUUGUACACACCGCCCGUCACACCAUGGGAGUGGGUUGCAAAAGAAGUAGGUAGCUUAACCUUCGGGAGGGCGCUUACCACUUUGUGAUUCAUGACUGGGGUGAAGUCGUAACAAGGUAACCGUAGGGGAACCUGCGGUUGGAUCACCUCCUU